Molecule: ribosomal RNA, 434 nt
Filed under: uncultured bacterium
Lineage: Bacteria
Description: partial 16S ribosomal RNA
Rfam family: Bacterial small subunit ribosomal RNA
Source: RNAcentral
AGCGAACGCUGGCGGCAGGCCUAACACAUGCAAGUCGAACGAACCUUUCGGGGUUAGUGGCGGACGGGUGAGUAACACGUGGGAACGUGCCUUUAGGUUCGGAAUAACUCAGGGAAACUUGUGCUAAUACCGAAUGUGCCCUUCGGGGGAAAGAUCUAUCGCCUUUAGAGCGGCCCGCGUCUGAUUAGCUAGUUGGUUGAGGUAAUGGCUCACCAAGGCGACGAUCAGUAGCUGGUAUGAGAGGAUGAUCAGCCACAUUGGGACUGAGACACGGCCCAAAAUCCUACGGGAGGCAGCAGUGGGGAAUCUUGCGCAAUGGGCGAAAGCCUGACGCAGCCAUGCCGCGUGAAUGAUGAAGGUCUUAGGAUUGUAAAAUUCUUUCACCGGGGACGAUAAUGACGGUACCCGGAGAAGAAGCCCCGGCUAACUUCGUG